CCUACGGGUGGCUGCAGUGGGGAAUAUUGCGCAAUGGGGGAAACCCUGACGCAGCGACGCCGUGUGAGGGAAGAAGGCUUUCGGGUCGUAAACCUCUGUCAGAAAGGAAGAACCUCCCAAGUCCGAAUAGGGCUUGGGACUGACGGUACUUUCAAAGGAAGCACCGGCUAACUCCGUGCCAGCAGCCGCGGUAAUACGGAGGGUGCAAGCGUUAAUCGGAAUCACUGGGCGUAAAGCGCGCGUAGGCCGCUUUGUAAGUCGGACGUGAAAGCCCUCGGCUCAACCGGGGAACUGCGUUCGAUACUGCGAGGCUUGAGUCCUGGAGAGGGUGGCGGAAUUCCGGGUGUAGGAGUGAAAUCCGUAGAUAUCCGGAGGAACACCGGUGGCGAAGGCGGCCACCUGGACAGGUACUGACGCUGAGGCGCGAAAGCGUGGGGAGCAAACAGGCUUAGAUACCCCGGUAGUC
This 466-nucleotide ribosomal RNA is filed under the name uncultured Desulfovibrio sp. RNAcentral describes it as "bacterial SSU rRNA". It matches the Rfam family "Bacterial small subunit ribosomal RNA", at positions 338 to 795 of the family's 1533-position model. The record is from RNAcentral. Lineage: Bacteria; Pseudomonadati; Thermodesulfobacteriota; Desulfovibrionia; Desulfovibrionales; Desulfovibrionaceae.